CCACCACCAAAGCUACAUCAUAAGCCAGCGAAAAGGAGCAAGAAGGGAGGAGAGUGAGGAGAGUGUUAGGCGACAACGAGAGAGGAAAAAUGAAGGAGGAGAACAGUGGAGCUAGGCUUUUUGUUAGAUUUUAGGUGGCGGUGGAGUUAGGCCGGAAGACUGUUUCAAUGGAAUUUAGUGGCGGCUCCGACUUUUUAGAGA
This 201-nucleotide long non-coding RNA is filed under the name Trifolium pratense (red clover). Its description in RNAcentral is "long non-coding RNA (TPRA_LNC009079)". Lineage: Eukaryota; Viridiplantae; Streptophyta; Magnoliopsida; Fabales; Fabaceae. The record is from RNAcentral.